RNAcentral lists this ribosomal RNA (481 nucleotides) under uncultured bacterium. RNAcentral's name for it is "bacterial SSU rRNA". It matches the Rfam family "Bacterial small subunit ribosomal RNA", at positions 329 to 803 of the family's 1533-position model. The record is from RNAcentral.
UGGCUAACUCCUACGGGAGGCAGCAGUGGGGAAUAUUGGACAACGGGCGAAAGCCUGAUCCAGCCAUGCCGCGUGUGUGAAGAAGGUCUUCGGAUUGUAAAGCACUUUAAGUUGGGAGGAAGGGCAUUAACCUAAUACGUUAGUGUCUUGACGUUACCGACAGAAUAAGCACCGGCUAACUCUGUGCCAGCAGCCGCGGUAAUACAGAGGGUGCAAGCGUUAAUCGGAAUUACUGGGCGUAAAGCGCGCGUAGGUGGUUUGUUAAGUUGAAUGUGAAAUCCCCGUGCUCAACCUGGGAACUGCAUCCAAAACUGGCAAGCUAGAGUAUGGUAGAGGGUAGUGGAAUUUCCUGUGUAGCGGUGAAAGGCGUAGACAGAGGAAGGAACACCAGUGGCGAAGGCGACUACCUGGACUGAUACUGACACUGUGCUGCGAAAGCGUGGGGAGCAAACAGGAUUAGAUACCCGGGUAGUCCAGCUGG